UUGUCCACGUUUUUAAAUCAGGAAAACUCCUUAACUCAAAUAGGAACAGAGAAGAGUAACCACCUUCAGUUUCAAGGAAGGGACAAAAAAGGGAUGUUUUUCUGUUGCUCUUGCUUUUUGGAGGCUGGGGAGCUGGAUGAAGCACAACAGAUGAAAGAGGAAGUAUGUGCUGAUUUCACUAAUUUUUCCUUUGAGUGACUGCUGUUGCCAUGUGGUGGUCUCUGUUGCUAUGAAGGUUUGUUGUGCCAGACAAUGGUUGUUGGGCUCAAUAUGUUUGUGUUACUGGCUGAGAUCUUUCUACAGGGAGUCAGGCUAGCAUGCAAAUGGCCAAACUGAGGAGCUUGGUCACAGUGACCUGUAUCUCCAGACAAAGUGGCAGUGAUCCAGGAAUGAAAAAGGCAUGAAGUGACUUGAGUGACGGAUGGCCAGUUACCUUCAUAAAGAAAGUCAGACACGUGUCACAGAACAACAAACCUACCCUGCACCUUAGUUGAUCUCAAGGGAAAGAAAAGUUUAGACUUUUUCCACUCUGUUUUUUAAAGGUUUUCAUUAGGUUCACAUACACGAAAAACAUCUCUCCUUUUGAGAAGGCUACCUGUCUCCCUCCUCCCCAAAUCCUGAAGAUGAGCAGAGCAAACAGGCAAGAAACUGAUGUCUUCUGUCAAUCAACUCAAUGCACUGAGGCAUUGUUCAACAAUGCCUGUUGAACAGCAUUAGGCUAUGGUCCUCACAUGUUUCUCAUUCCAACAGACUCUCUAGCUGUUCAGAAGUUUGGCUACAGGCAAAUGACAUUUUUAAAAAUCAAAAA
Molecule: non-coding RNA, 808 nt
Organism: Phascolarctos cinereus (koala)
Lineage: Eukaryota; Metazoa; Chordata; Mammalia; Diprotodontia; Phascolarctidae
Source: RefSeq, a predicted model, not a curated record